Molecule: ribosomal RNA, 475 nt
Filed under: uncultured organism
Description: partial 16S ribosomal RNA
Rfam family: Bacterial small subunit ribosomal RNA
Source: RNAcentral
CACUCCUACGGGAGGCAGCAGUGGGGAAUUUUGGACAAUGGGCGAAAGCCUGAUCCAGCAAUGCCGCGUGCAGGAUGAAGGCCUUCGGGUUGUAAACUGCUUUUGUACGGAACGAAAAAGCUCCUUCUAAUACAGGGGGCCCAUGACGGUACCGUAAGAAUAAGCACCGGCUAACUACGUGCCAGCAGCCGCGGUAAUACGUAGGGUGCGAGCGUUAAUCGGAAUUACUGGGCGUAAAGCGUGCGCAGGCGGUUAUGUAAGACAGAUGUGAAAUCCCCGGGCUCAACCUGGGAACUGCAUUUGUGACUGCAUGGCUAGAGUACGGUAGAGGGGGAUGGAAUUCCGCGUGUAGCAGUGAAAUGCGUAGAUAUGCGGAGGAACACCGAUGGCGAAGGCAAUCCCCUGGACCUGUACUGACGCUCAUGCACGAAAGCGUGGGGAGCAAACAGGAUUAGAAACCCCAGUAGUCCCAUGA